This 449-nucleotide ribosomal RNA is filed under the name Salmonella enterica. RNAcentral's name for it is "bacterial SSU rRNA". It matches the Rfam family "Bacterial small subunit ribosomal RNA", at positions 1 to 446 of the family's 1533-position model. The record is from RNAcentral. Lineage: Bacteria; Pseudomonadati; Pseudomonadota; Gammaproteobacteria; Enterobacterales; Enterobacteriaceae. RNAcentral also lists the same sequence under 3 other names.
AAAUUGAAGAGUUUGAUCAUGGCUCAGAUUGAACGCUGGCGGCAGGCCUAACACAUGCAAGUCGAACGGUAACAGGAAGCAGCUUGCUGCUUCGCUGACGAGUGGCGGACGGGUGAGUAAUGUCUGGGAAACUGCCUGAUGGAGGGGGAUAACUACUGGAAACGGUGGCUAAUACCGCAUAACGUCGCAAGACCAAAGAGGGGGACCUUCGGGCCUCUUGCCAUCAGAUGUGCCCAGAUGGGAUUAGCUUGUUGGUGAGGUAAUGGCUCACCAAGGCGACGAUCCCUAGCUGGUCUGAGAGGAUGACCAGCCACACUGGAACUGAGACACGGUCCAGACUCCUACGGGAGGCAGCAGUGGGGAAUAUUGCACAAUGGGCGCAAGCCUGAUGCAGCCAUGCCGCGUGUAUGAAGAAGGCCUUCGGGUUGUAAAGUACUUUCAGCGGGGAG